UACGGAGGGUGCAAGCGUUAUCCGGAUUCACUGGGUUUAAAGGGUGCGUAGGUGGGUUGGUAAGUCAGUGGUGAAAUCUCCGAGCUUAACUUGGAAACUGCCAUUGAUACUAUCAGUCUUGAAUACCGUGGAGGUCAGCGGAAUAUGUCAUGUAGCGGUGAGAUGCUUAGAUAUGACAUAGAACACCAAUUGCGAAGGCAGCUGGCUACACGAGUAUUGACACUGAGGCACGAAAGCGUGGGGAUCAAACAGG
RNAcentral lists this ribosomal RNA (253 nucleotides) under uncultured bacterium. Its description in RNAcentral is "partial 16S ribosomal RNA". It matches the Rfam family "Bacterial small subunit ribosomal RNA", at positions 524 to 776 of the family's 1533-position model. The record is from RNAcentral.